Molecule: transfer RNA, 76 nt
Filed under: Rhodospirillales bacterium
Lineage: Bacteria; Pseudomonadati; Pseudomonadota; Alphaproteobacteria; Rhodospirillales
Description: tRNA-Ala
Rfam family: tRNA
About the family: Transfer RNA (tRNA) molecules are approximately 80 nucleotides in length.
Source: RNAcentral
GGGGGUAUAGCUCAGUAGGGAGAGCGUCUGGUUCGCAAUCAGAAGGUCAGCGGUUCGAUUCCGCUUACCUCCACCA